UACGGAGGAUGCGAGCGUUAUCCGGAUUUAUUGGGUUUAAAGGGUGCGUAGGCGGCCAUUUAAGUCAGCGGUGAAAUUUUGCAGCUUAACUGUAACAGUGCCGUUGAUACUGUUUGGCUAGGAUUUGGUUGUAGUGUGCGGAAUGUGUGGUGUAGCGGUGAAAUGCUUAGAUAUCACACAGAACACCGAUUGCGAAGGCAGCACACUAAGUCAUUAUUGACGCUGAGGCACGAAGGUGUGGGUAUCAAACAGGAUUAGA
Molecule: ribosomal RNA, 259 nt
Filed under: uncultured prokaryote
Description: partial 16S ribosomal RNA
Rfam family: Bacterial small subunit ribosomal RNA
Source: RNAcentral